GAUGAACGCUGGCGGUGUGCCUAAUACAUGCGAGUCGAGCGAACAGACGAGGAGCUUACUCCUCUGACGUUAGCGGCGGACGGGUGAGUAACACGUGGAUAACCUACCUAUAAGACUGGGAUAACUUCGGGAAACCGGAGCUAAUACCGGAUAACAUGUUGAACCGCAUGGUUCAACAGUGAAAGACGGUCUUGCUGUCACUUAUAGAUGGAUCCGCGUCGCAUUAGCUAGUUGGUAAGGUAACGGCUUACCAAGGCAACGAUGCGUAGCCGACCUGAGAGGGUGAUCGGCCACACUGGAACUGAGACACGAUCCAGACUCCUACGGGAGGCAGCAGUAGGGAAUCUUCCGCAAUGGGCGAAAGCCUGACGGAGCAACGCCGCGUGAGUGAAGAAGGUCUUCGGAUCGUAAAACUCUGUUAUUAGGGAAGAACAAAUGUGUAAGUAACUAUGCACGUCUUGACGGUACCUAAUCAGAAAGCCACGGCUAACUACGUG
RNAcentral lists this ribosomal RNA (497 nucleotides) under uncultured bacterium. Its description in RNAcentral is "partial 16S ribosomal RNA". It matches the Rfam family "Bacterial small subunit ribosomal RNA", at positions 28 to 507 of the family's 1533-position model. The record is from RNAcentral.